Molecule: ribosomal RNA, 653 nt
Filed under: uncultured archaeon
Lineage: Archaea
Description: bacterial SSU rRNA
Rfam family: Archaeal small subunit ribosomal RNA
Source: RNAcentral
UAUAACAGGUACGGGCUCUGCGAGGAGGGGCCCGGAGAUGGGUACUGAGACACGGACCCAGGCCCUAUGGGGCGCAGCAGGCGAGAAACCUUUGCAAUGUGCGAAAGCACGACAAGGUUAAUCCGAGUGUCUCCUGCUAAAGGAGUCUUUUGUCAGUUGUAGAAUCACUGGUGAAUAAGGGGUGGGCAAGUUCUGGUGUCAGCCGCCGCGGUAAAACCAGCACCUCGAGUGGUCAGGAGGUUUAUUGGGCCUAAAGCAUCCGUAGCCGGUUGCAUAAGUUUUCGGUUAAAUCUAUGCGCUUAACGUAUAGGCCGCCGAAAAUACUGUGCAGCUAGGGAGUGGGAGAGGUACACGGUACUCGAUAGGAAGGGGUAAAAUCCUUUGAUCUAUUGAAGACCACCUGUGGCGAAGGCGGUGUACCAGAACACGUUCGACGGUGAGGGAUGAAAGCUGGGGGAGCAAACCGGAUUAGAUACCCGGGUAGUCCCAGCUGUAAACGAUGCAGACUCGGUGAUGCAUUGGCUUGUGGCCAAUGCAGUGCCGCAGGGAAGCCGUUAAGUCUGCCGCCUGGGAAGUACGUACGCAAGUAUGAAACUAAGGAAUUGGCGGGGGAGCACCACAAGGGAGAAGCUGCGGUUCAAUUGGAGUCAACC